Molecule: transfer RNA, 63 nt
Filed under: Rasbora einthovenii (brilliant rasbora)
Lineage: Eukaryota; Metazoa; Chordata; Actinopteri; Cypriniformes; Danionidae
Description: tRNA-Phe
Rfam family: tRNA
About the family: Transfer RNA (tRNA) molecules are approximately 80 nucleotides in length. Their secondary structure includes four short double-helical elements and three loops (D, anti-codon, and T loops).
Source: RNAcentral
GUAGCUUAACUCAAAGCAUGGCACUGAAGAUGCUAAGAUAGGUCCUAAAAAACCUCGCAUGCA